GGCGCAUUAGCUAGUUGGUGGGGUAAAGGCUUACCAAGGCAAUGAUGCGUAGCCGAACUGAGAGGUUGAUCGGCCACAUUGGGACUGAGACACGGCCCAAACUCCUACGGGAGGCAGCAGUAGGGAAUCUUCCACAAUGGGCGAAAGCCUGAUGGAGCAACGCCGCGUGGGUGAAGAAGGUCUUCGGAUCGUAAAACCCUGUUGUUAGAGAAGAAAGUGCGUGAGAGUAACUGUUCACGUUUCGACGGUAUCUAACCAGAAAGCCACGGCUAACUACGUGCCAGCAGCCGCGGUAAUACGUAGGUGGCAAGCGUUAUCCGGAUUUAUUGGGCGUAAAGGGAACGCAGGCGGUCUUUUAAGUCUGAUGUGAAAGCCUUCGGCUUAACCGGAGUAGUGCAUUGGAAACUGGGAGACUUGAGUGCAGAAGAGGAGAGUGGAACUCCAUGUGUAGCGGUGAAAUGCGUAGAUAUAUGGAAGAACACCAGUGGCGAAAGCGGCUCUCUGGUCUGUAACUGACGCUGAGGUUCGAAAGCGUGGGUAGCAAACAGGAUUAGAUACCCUGGUAGUCCACGCCGUAAACGAUGAAUGCUAAGUGUUGGAGGGUUUCCGCCCUUCA
RNAcentral lists this ribosomal RNA (616 nucleotides) under uncultured bacterium. RNAcentral's name for it is "bacterial SSU rRNA". It matches the Rfam family "Bacterial small subunit ribosomal RNA", at positions 235 to 842 of the family's 1533-position model. The record is from RNAcentral.